Molecule: small nucleolar RNA, 139 nt
Organism: Phragmites australis (common reed)
Lineage: Eukaryota; Viridiplantae; Streptophyta; Magnoliopsida; Poales; Poaceae
Product: small nucleolar RNA Z247
Exons: 1
Source: RefSeq, a predicted model, not a curated record
CUGCUAGAUGAUGAAGAGAUGGUCGCCUAUAUCCUUAAUGGGCUAGAUGCUGAAUUCAAUCAUUUAGUUUCUGCACUUGUAACUAGAGUAGAAUCUAUCUUAAUUGGGGAACUAUACUCUCAACUUUUGAGUGUUGAAA